UACGUAGGGUGCAAGCGUUGUCCGGAAUUAUUGGGCGUAAAGAGCUCGUAGGCGGUUUGUUGCGUCGGCUGUGAAAUCCCGAGGCUCAACCUCGGGUCUGCAGUCGAUACGAGCAAACUAGAGUGUUGCAGGGGAGACUGGAAUUCCUGGUGUAGCGGUGAAAUGCGCAGAUAUCAGGAGGAACACCGGUGGCGAAGGCGGUUCUCUGGGCAUUACCUGACGGCUGAGGAGCGAAAGUGUGGGGAGCGAACAGGA
Molecule: ribosomal RNA, 255 nt
Filed under: uncultured bacterium
Lineage: Bacteria
Description: partial 16S ribosomal RNA
Rfam family: Bacterial small subunit ribosomal RNA
Source: RNAcentral